RNAcentral lists this ribosomal RNA (1057 nucleotides) under Yersinia pestis. Its description in RNAcentral is "partial 23S ribosomal RNA". It matches the Rfam family "Bacterial large subunit ribosomal RNA", at positions 387 to 1444 of the family's 2925-position model. The record is from RNAcentral. Lineage: Bacteria; Pseudomonadati; Pseudomonadota; Gammaproteobacteria; Enterobacterales; Yersiniaceae.
AAUGCACAGGCUGUGAACUCGAUGAGUAGGGCGGGACACGUGACAUCCUGUCUGAAUAUGGGGGGACCAUCCUCCAAGGCUAAAUACUCCUGACUGACCGAUAGUGAACCAGUACCGUGAGGGAAAGGCGAAAAGAACCCCGGCGAGGGGAGUGAAAUAGAACCUGAAACCGUGUACGUACAAGCAGUGGGAGCACCUUCGUGGUGUGACUGCGUACCUUUUGUAUAAUGGGUCAGCGACUUAUAUUUUGUAGCAAGGUUAACCGAAUAGGGGAGCCGUAGGGAAACCGAGUCUUAACUGGGCGUCUAGUUGCAAGGUAUAGACCCGAAACCCGGUGAUCUAGCCAUGGGCAGGUUGAAGGUUGGGUAACACUAACUGGAGGACCGAACCGACUAAUGUUGAAAAAUUAGCGGAUGACUUGUGGCUGGGGGUGAAAGGCCAAUCAAACCGGGAGAUAGCUGGUUCUCCCCGAAAGCUAUUUAGGUAGCGCCUCGUGAACUCAUCUUCGGGGGUAGAGCACUGUUUCGGCUAGGGGGCCAUCCCGGCUUACCAAACCGAUGCAAACUCCGAAUACCGAAGAAUGUUAUCACGGGAGACACACGGCGGGUGCUAACGUCCGUCGUGAAGAGGGAAACAACCCAGACCGCCAGCUAAGGUCCCAAAGUCAUGGUUAAGGGGGAAACGAUGUGGGAAGGCACAGACAGCCAGGAUGUUGGCUUAGAAGCAGCCAUCAUUUAAAGAAAGCGUAAUAGCUCACUGGUCGAGUCGGCCUGCGCGGAAGAUGUAACGGGGCUAAACCAUGCACCGAAGCUGCGGCAGCGACGUUUAGGCGUUGUUGGGUAGGGGAGCGUUCUGUAAGCCGUUGAAGGUGACCUGUGAGGGUUGCUGGAGGUAUCAGAAGUGCGAAUGCUGACAUAAGUAACGAUAAUGCGGGUGAAAAACCCGCACGCCGGAAGACCAAGGGUUCCUGUCCAACGUUAAUCGGGGCAGGGUGAGUCGACCCCUAAGGCGAGGCUGAAAAGCGUAGUCGAUGGGAAACAGGUUAAUAUUCCUGUAC